AUGAACGCUGGUGGCGUGCCUAAUACAUGCAAGUCGAGCGAACGGACGAGAAGCUUGCUUCUCUGAUGUUAGCGGCGGACGGGUGAGUAACACGUGGAUAACCUACCUAUAAGACUGGGAUAACUUCGGGAAACCGUAGCUAAUACCGGAUAAUAUUUUGAACCGCAUGGUUCAAAAGUGAAAGACGGUCUUGCUGUCACUUAUAGAUGGAUCCGCGCUGCAUUAGCUAGUUGGUAAGGUAACGGCUUACCAAGGCAACGAUGCAUAGCCGACCUGAGAGGGUGAUCGGCCACACUGGAACUGAGACACGGUCCAGACUCCUACGGGAGGCAGCAGUAGGGAAUCUUCCGCAAUGGGCGAAAGCCUGACGGAGCAACGCCGCGUGAGUGAUGAAGGUCUUCGGAUCGUAAAACUCUGUUAUUAGGGAAGAACAUAUGUGUAAGUAACUGUGCACAUCUUGACGGUACCUAAUCAGAAAGCCACGGCUAACUACGUG
Molecule: ribosomal RNA, 496 nt
Filed under: uncultured bacterium
Lineage: Bacteria
Description: partial 16S ribosomal RNA
Rfam family: Bacterial small subunit ribosomal RNA
Source: RNAcentral